Molecule: transfer RNA, 63 nt
Filed under: Ictidomys tridecemlineatus (thirteen-lined ground squirrel)
Lineage: Eukaryota; Metazoa; Chordata; Mammalia; Rodentia; Sciuridae
Description: Spermophilus tridecemlineatus (thirteen-lined ground squirrel) tRNA
Rfam family: tRNA
About the family: Transfer RNA (tRNA) molecules are approximately 80 nucleotides in length. Their secondary structure includes four short double-helical elements and three loops (D, anti-codon, and T loops).
Source: Rfam by way of RNAcentral
GGGGAUAUAGUUCAGUGGUAGAGCACUUGCCUCGUGUGCAUGAGGCCCUGGGUUCCAUCCCCA